CUGGCUUACCUCCUCAGUUGUUUGCAAAGGCUUCUAUUGCCAUUGCGGAUUGUGGGUUUCCUGUGUUGCCUACCUAAGCUACGGUAUUGUCUCGUUUGAUUUAACUUUAUUUUGUCUUGUGUCAAUCGACAUCAGACGGACCCUGAAGCUGUUUCUUUGAACCAYAACAUUAAUGCAUGCGUUGAUGUUGUGGGCCAUUGAGUAUUGCUUGGUAUCUUGGAUAUGGAACCUGAAGUGGGCAUGGGAUCUCAUGGGGUCCCUCCUUUGCCCUCAUUUUAGCGUUCGCGCUUCUCUAAAACGACUGUCCGCCACGCCUAGGCUCGUACCAGCUUGGUGGUUAUGUCAAAGAGGAAUGCUACCUGGUUGAUCCUGCCAGUAGUCAUAUGCUUGUCUCAAAGAUUAAGCCAUGCA
This 411-nucleotide unclassified non-coding RNA is filed under the name Polymnia canadensis. Its description in RNAcentral is "partial contains external transcribed spacer and 18S ribosomal RNA". The stretch from base 357 to 411 matches the Rfam family "Eukaryotic small subunit ribosomal RNA", at positions 1 to 55 of the family's 1831-position model. The record is from RNAcentral. Lineage: Eukaryota; Viridiplantae; Streptophyta; Magnoliopsida; Asterales; Asteraceae.